UACGUAGGGGGCAAGCGUUAAUCGGAAUUACUGGGCGUAAAGCGUGCGCAGGCGGUGAUGUAAGACAGGUGUGAAAUCCCCGGGCUCAACCUGGGAACUGCAUUUGUGACUGCACAGCUGGAGUGCGGCAGAGGGGGAUGGAAUUCCGCGUGUAGCAGUGAAAUGCGUAGAUAUGCGGAGGAACACCGAUGGCGAAGGCAAUCCCCUGGGCCUGCACUGACGCUCAUGCACGAAAGCGUGGGGAGCAAACAGG
This 253-nucleotide ribosomal RNA is filed under the name uncultured bacterium. Its description in RNAcentral is "partial 16S ribosomal RNA". It matches the Rfam family "Bacterial small subunit ribosomal RNA", at positions 524 to 776 of the family's 1533-position model. The record is from RNAcentral.